CUACGGGUCGCACCAGUGGGGAAUAUUGGACAAUGGGGGAAACCCUGAUCCAGCAAUGCCGCGUGCGUGAAGAAGGCCUGCGGGUUGUAAAGCACUUUCGGUUGGGAGGACUGCUUCUAGCACUAAUAUUGUUGGAAGUUGACGUUACCUUCAGAAGAAGCACCGGCUAACUCCGUGCCAGCAGCCGCGGUAAUACGGAGGGUGCAAGCGUUAAUCGGAAUUACUGGGCGUAAAGCGCGCGUAGGCGGCUAGAUCAGUCGGGUGUGAAAGCCCCGGGCUUAACCUGGGAACUGCAUCCGAUACUGUCUAGCUUGAGUACAGGAGAGGAGAGUGGAAUUCCACAUGUAGCGGUGAAAUGCGUAGAUAUGUGGAGGAACACCAAUGGCGAAGGCAGCUCUCUGGCCUGAUACUGACGCUGAGGUGCGAAAGCGUGGGGAUCAAACAGGAUUAGAUACCCCAGUAGUC
RNAcentral lists this ribosomal RNA (465 nucleotides) under uncultured bacterium. Its description in RNAcentral is "partial 16S ribosomal RNA". It matches the Rfam family "Bacterial small subunit ribosomal RNA", at positions 339 to 795 of the family's 1533-position model. The record is from RNAcentral.